Long non-coding RNA from Hemicordylus capensis (graceful crag lizard), 1441 nucleotides. RefSeq lists it as uncharacterized. Lineage: Eukaryota; Metazoa; Chordata; Lepidosauria; Squamata; Cordylidae. The transcript has 3 exons. The record is from RefSeq and is a predicted model, not a curated record.
UGGGACGUAACAAUGGCACCACAGCACAGAAUCAGAGUUCCAGGCUACAAAACUUACUCCUAACUAAAGAGAUGUUAGGCGGCACCCAGACGCAGGCUUGAUGGUCCCUCAUCCCAGUUUUAGGAAAUAUCUACAAGAGGUGAUGAGCAAUAAAAUCAUGAAGGUUAGCAACAAGGAUUCAGACUGCUAGGAGGACCCUGAAGAUGUACCUGUAUUCCCAGGCCUUCAACUGAGAUUGGAUUUUUAAAUCUUAAUGUGUUUUAAUGUGUUUUUAUCUAUGAAUUUCAUCUUUUAUGAGUUUUAAAUGUGUUAUAGAUAGAUAGAUAAAGUUUAUUACGGUCAUAGAGCAGCCAGUUACAAUUUAUAUAUCACAUUUACAUUUUACAAGCUUUGCGAAUUAGCAAUACAAACGUUAUGAAAUUUGCAAACAAUAAAGCAAAACUUGGGCACAUUACUAGAAAUUACAGGUUUGAAAUUGGACAGCAGGUACUCUAAAUAAAAAUGAUUGGUGUGCCCAGGACAAUUCUUUAAAAGGGGUAAAAUGAAAUUAAAAUUACUGUCCCUAUAAAAUUGACAGUAGAGGAUUAUGUUGGCAGUUGUCACUAUGUCCCCUCAGCUGCAGGGACAGCGGCACAAUGCAUAAGGUAGUCGUUAGUAUAUUUUGUGUUUUAAUUCUGUACACCGCCUAGAGAUUUUUAUACUAGGCAGUAUAUAAAUUAAUUAAUGAAAGAAAGGAAGGAAGGAAGGAAGGAAGGAAGGAAGGAAGGAAGGAAGGAAGGAAGGAAAAGAAAGAUGGGCAGAGGGUCAAAGUUAGCGCUGAGAAGAGGAAGAGUUAGGCUUGCUUUACUUAGACAGGGAGAAAUCGGAAGCAGUAAGAACACUGGUCUAACCUGAGAAGUCACUCCAGGGAUGGGGACAUUUUUGGGUUAAGUUUUCUUAGAGCAGUGGUUUUCAGCCUUGGGUCCUCAGAUGUUGUUGCGUUGCAACUUCCAUCAUCCCCAGCCAGCCUUAAAGGUCUGGGGAUGAUUGGAGCUGCAGUCCAACAACAUCUGGGGAGGGGCCCAAGUUGACAACCCCUAUCUUAGAGCAAAGGAUUACAGAACAGGCGCAGAGGAGGUUCGAAGGCUCUGAUCAGAGAAGGUAAAUUCUGAAGCUGGAGCAACAGAACAAUCUGCUGUUAGCAAGGCAAUGACAAAAGGCCAAACUGCUGAUAUUUAUACCUGGAUUACCCAAUCCAGUGGUCAUUUUGUACCUGUCUGUUAAUGAAGCUGAGAAUUCAUCAUUUCAGCCCCCACCACUAAUGGAGAUCUGGCUGGCGGGGACUAGAGACAGGACCUUUUCAGUUGUGGCACCUCAACUUUGGAACACCCUCCUGGAAGAGCUUCGCCAUACUCCCUCCCCAGUCUUUUAAAGAAACAACUGAAGACACAUCUUUUUUUAG